UACGUAGGGGGCAAGCGUUAUCCGGAAUCAUUGGGCGUAAAGCGCGUGUAGGCGGCCAUGUAAGUCCGCUCUGAAAGCCCGGGGCUCAACCCCGGGAGGCGGGUGGAAACUACAUGGCUAGAGUAUGGAAGAGGCAAGUGGAAUUCCUGGUGUAGCGGUGAAAUGCGCAGAUAUCAGGAGGAACACCAAUAGCGAAGGCAGCUUGCUGGUACAUUACUGACGCUGAGACGCGAAAGCGUGGGGAGCAAACAGG
This 253-nucleotide ribosomal RNA is filed under the name uncultured bacterium. RNAcentral's name for it is "partial 16S ribosomal RNA". It matches the Rfam family "Bacterial small subunit ribosomal RNA", at positions 524 to 776 of the family's 1533-position model. The record is from RNAcentral.